GAUGAACGCUGGCGGCGUGCCUAAUACAUGCAAGUAGAACGCUGAAGGAGGAGCUUGCUCUUCUGGAUGAGUUGCGAACGGGUGAGUAACGCGUAGGUAACCUGCCUGGUAGCGGGGGAUAACUAUUGGAAACGAUAGCUAAUACCGCAUGACAACAGUUAUUGCAUGAUAACUGUUUAAAAAGGGCAACUGCUCCACUACCAGAUGGACCUGCGUUGUAUUAGCUAGUUGGUGAGGUAACGGCUCACCAAGGCGACGAUACAUAGCCGACCUGAGAGGGUGAUCGGCCACACUGGGACUGAGACACGGCCCAGACUCCUACGGGAGGCAGCAGUAGGGAAUCUUCGGCAAUGGACGGAAGUCUGACCGAGCAACGCCGCGUGAGUGAAGAAGGUUUUCGGAUCGUAAAGCUCUGUUGUAAGAGAAGAACGAGUGUGAGAGUGGAAAGUUCACACUGUGACGGUAUCUUACCAGAAAGAGACGGCUAACUACGUG
This 495-nucleotide ribosomal RNA is filed under the name uncultured bacterium. RNAcentral describes it as "partial 16S ribosomal RNA". It matches the Rfam family "Bacterial small subunit ribosomal RNA", at positions 28 to 507 of the family's 1533-position model. The record is from RNAcentral.